Molecule: microRNA, 23 nt
Filed under: Monodelphis domestica (gray short-tailed opossum)
Lineage: Eukaryota; Metazoa; Chordata; Mammalia; Didelphimorphia; Didelphidae
Description: mdo-miR-7338-5p
Source: miRBase by way of RNAcentral
AGUUUCAGGGCAGCUAGCUACAG